AAGAGACAGCAGUCGCCGCGGGAAUACGAAGGGUGCAAGCGUUACUCGGAAUUACUGGGCGUAAAGCGUGCGUAGGUGGUUGUUUAAGUCUGCUGUGAAAGCCCUGGGCUCAACCUGGGAAUUGCAGUGGAUACUGGGCGACUAGAGUAAGGUAGAGGAUAGUGGAAUUUCCGGUGUAGCAGUGAAAUGCGUAGAGAUCGGAAGGAACAUCUGUGGCGAAGGCGACUAUCUGGGCCAUUACUGACACUGAGGCACGAAAGCGUGGGGAGCAAACAGGAUUAGAUACCCCUGUAGUCCCUGUCUCUUAUAC
This 310-nucleotide ribosomal RNA is filed under the name uncultured bacterium. RNAcentral describes it as "partial 16S ribosomal RNA". It matches the Rfam family "Bacterial small subunit ribosomal RNA", at positions 503 to 807 of the family's 1533-position model. The record is from RNAcentral.